Molecule: long non-coding RNA, 2098 nt
Organism: Spinacia oleracea (spinach)
Lineage: Eukaryota; Viridiplantae; Streptophyta; Magnoliopsida; Caryophyllales; Amaranthaceae
Exons: 2
Source: RefSeq, a predicted model, not a curated record
UUGGCAUAAACAACCAUCAUCAUCAUCUCAGCCCACCACACUGCCACCAUCCUCGCAACAACAACAACAGCAAGCAACAACAACAACAAUAUCAAAAAUCGCAGCAAAGAACAGAGCAAAAACAUAGUAAACAGGUUCGACCGAACCCAUAACGGAGUUCGACCGAACCAAAAAUUUAGAGUUCCUGACAAGGCCGGGUCCUUCCGAACCUCCAUUGAUUUCGCCCAAACCAGAACGAAGUCCGACCGAACCUCCAUUGAGUCCGACCGAACAUUUGAGCGCUGAAUUCUUGUACGGAAUUAAUGAAAUUGGACGGCUGUGAUUGGUUAAGGUUAGCAGCGAAUUUCGGCCGUCGGAUUGAAUUUGAUGAUAAUAAUGAUCGUUGAUGAUGGUUGAGGAUGGACGGUGAUGAUGGUGGAGUUGGGAAGAUGAAGAGCUGCGAAGGUCGAAGAUGAGGGGAUAAAAAGCAACAGCGUCGAAGAAAAGGAAAAGGGGAGUACGAAAUCCCGAACCUUUUAAAUGCACGCAAUUGGAGUACUGUGCAAUUGGAGUACUGUUCUUAAGCACAGUACUUCACGUGCGAAACGCGUGCCAAUUUUUUUUAAAAACUUUUUCUCCCUUUCUCUCCUUUCUAUUGGUUACCUGAUCCUUCUCUCUCUUUUCUUACGUUAUUUUUUACUCAGUACUACUCAUUUCCUUCUCUCUCCUCCAUUGUUGUACUCUUCAUCUAUUUCUUCGUCCCUGUGACCCUUCCUUGUCGCUACUCCAUUUCGAUCUCUCUUCACUAAAUAAUUCGUCUGGUAUUGUAUAUAGGUGAAUAUGACCUUAUUCUGCAAUUAAUUACUGAUUCAUCGGAGUUUCUGGGAGCUUGAUUAUGACGAAGAAACGAAGCAUCACUUCAUAAAUCUGAAAAUAUUGAAGGUGCACGUGCUCGGGUUUUGGAGCACCAAUUGAAAGGGCCUAAGAAAUUGUACAAUAUGGUCGAGAAAACAACUUAACCUACACCACCCUAUAUCCAAUCCUACACCACAUCACAGGCCUGUUGCAUCAACAUACCAACACCAAUCCUCCCUCCCCUGCUCCGGCCUACAACCACCUUCAUCUUCCAACUACUCUCUCCUGCCACCUCACUCCUACACCAACAACUCCAGCAACGCACCUCCCUCGCAACACCAGUCCAACCCCUGCUGCCACCCUCCACCAACACCGUCAUCAUCUCAGCCCACCACACUGCCACCAUCCUCGCAACAACAACAACAGCAAGCAACAACAACAACAAUAUAAAAGAUCGCAGCAAAAAACAGAGCAAAAACAGAGUAAACAGGUUCGACCGAACCCGUAACGGAGUUCGACCGAACUAAAAAUUUAGAGUUCCUGACAAGGCCGGGUCCUUCCAAACCUCCAUUGAGUUCGCCCAAACCAGAAUGAAGUCCGACCGAACCUCCAUUGAGUCCGACCGAACGUUUUAGCGCUGAAUUCUUGUACGGAAUUAAUGAAAUUGGACGGCUGUGAUUGGUUAAGGUUAGCAGCGAAUUUCGGCCGUCGGAUUGAAUUUGAUGAUAAUGAUGAUCGUUGAUGAUGGUUGAGGAUGGACGGUGAUGAUGGUGGAGCUGGGAAGAUGAAGAGCUGCGAAGGUCGAAGAUGAGGGGAUAAGAAGGAACCGCGUCGAAGAAAGGGAAAAAGAGGAGUACGAAAUGUAAAAAAGGGGGUCUGAUGGUUUCAUUGAUUUUUGUGGGGAUUUUGAUUUCAUUUUAUUUUUUUGUUUAUUUUAUUUUUUUCUUUUUCUUUUCCUUCUUUAUUUAGUUUACUUUUAGUUUUCUCUUUUUCUUUUCUCUUUAAUUCCUCCUCUCUUUUUUUUACUCUUUUUUUUUCUUUAGUUUAUUUUGAAGGGGUAUAAAUAGCUAAAUACCCAAUUUCAAAGGGGGAGGGAAAAUAAUUAGUUUAGUUUUCUAAUUUUUCUAGGGUUUUAGUUUAGCUUAGUUUUUAGAGAGACAAAGUGAGGAAAAUCAAUGGAAAAAUUGGGGCUUUUGAAAUUCAAGGGUGACAACUUGUAUGGAAGGAUCAACCAAUCAAUGAGCAAUUUCUUACUCUCUCCUUA